This 78-nucleotide non-coding RNA is filed under the name Elusimicrobiota bacterium. RNAcentral describes it as "Elusimicrobia bacterium c-di-GMP sequence". It matches the Rfam family "c-di-GMP-I riboswitch aptamer". Rfam says of the family: GEMM was predicted in a large-scale screen for bacterial structured RNA regulatory elements. Genes associated with GEMM are involved in a diverse array of functions, including chemotaxis regulation, signal transduction, secretion and chitin. Lineage: Bacteria; Pseudomonadati; Elusimicrobiota. The record is from RNAcentral.
AUCCGAUAAAAGCAAACUUAUGGUAACAUAGGGACGCAAAGCUAAAGGAGACAAUAAAUGUCUAGCCUGGCUGCCGGG